Molecule: ribosomal RNA, 387 nt
Filed under: Hylaeamys megacephalus (large-headed rice rat)
Lineage: Eukaryota; Metazoa; Chordata; Mammalia; Rodentia; Cricetidae
Also listed under: 1 other name
Description: partial 12S ribosomal RNA
Rfam family: Bacterial small subunit ribosomal RNA
Source: RNAcentral
GCUUAGCCCUAAACCUCAGUAAUUAUUUAACAAAAUUACUUGCCAGAGAACUACUAGCCACAGCUUAAAACUCAAAGGACUUGGCGGUACUUUAUAUCCACCUAGAGGAGCCUGUUCUAUAAUCGAUAAACCCCGCUAUACCUUACCACCCCUUGCUAAUUCAGCCUAUAUACCGCCAUCUUCAGCAAACCUUAAAAAAGAAUAAUAGUAAGCAAGAGUAUAUGCAUAAAAACGUUAGGUCAAGGUGUAGCUCAUGGGGUGGAAAGUAAUGGGCUACAUUUUCUUCCUAAGAAUAUUACGAGACUCUCUAUGAAAUUAAAGAGCAAAGGAGGAUUUAGUAGUAAAUUAAGAAUAGAGGGCUUAAUUGAACCGAGCAAUGAAGUACGC